CCUAAGGCUAGUCAGGUUGGAGUCCAGCUUGGUUCAGAUCUAAGCUUAGUUAAGUCCAAGUCUUAGUUUAGGUC
RNAcentral lists this transfer RNA (74 nucleotides) under Amborella trichopoda. RNAcentral's name for it is "tRNA AMTR_s00013t00279330". Lineage: Eukaryota; Viridiplantae; Streptophyta; Magnoliopsida; Amborellales; Amborellaceae. The record is from RNAcentral.